GACGAACGCUGGCGGCGUGCUUAACACAUGCAAGUCGAGCGGUAAGGCCCUUUCGGGGUACGACGAGCGGCGAACGGGUGAGUAACACGUGGGUGACCUGCCCUCCAGCUCUGGGAGUAAGCCUGGGAAACCGGGUCUAAUACCGGAUAUGACUCCAUGACGCAUGUUGUGGGGUGGAAAGCCUUGUGCGGCUGAGGAUGGGCCCGCGGCCUAUCAGCUUGUUGGUGGGGUGAUGGCCUACCAAGGCGACGACGGGUAGCCGGCCUGAGAGGGCGACCGGCCACACUGGGACUGAGACACGGCCCAGACUCCUACGGGAGGCAGCAGUGGGGAAUCUUGCGCAAUGGGCGAAAGCCUGACGCAGCGACGCCGCGUGAGGGAUGACGGCCUU
This 391-nucleotide ribosomal RNA is filed under the name uncultured bacterium. RNAcentral describes it as "bacterial SSU rRNA". It matches the Rfam family "Bacterial small subunit ribosomal RNA", at positions 28 to 418 of the family's 1533-position model. The record is from RNAcentral.